AAGGGCUCUUCUUACACUUGGCAGAGCAUUGUGGCUGGCAUUCAGACCUUCAAACGAGGUUGCAUUUGGCGUGUUGGAUCUGGAGCUAAUAUUGAUAUUUGGAAUGACCCCUGGAUACCAUCUAGUGUUACUAGAAAACUGAUUACACCAAGAGGUGCAACUAUGCUAUCAAAGGUUGAGGAGUUAGUAAAUCCACAUACGGGGCAAUGGGACGAAGAACUAAUCCGGGAUAUAUUUUCACCGGUCGACGUCCAUAGAAUACUACAGAUCCAGCUAAACCCCCACAUGAUAGAAGAUUUUGUAGCAUGGAAUUACACACGGUCGGGUACAUUCUCCGUGCGAUCGGCCUAUCAUAGAGAACUUGAGCAUCAAUAUGGUCCGCGGUGGCGGCGAGGGGAUGGGCAAGGCUCAGAAUAUAUCAACUCGGUGUGGGAGGAUAUGUGGAAUUUGAAGGUUCCUGGGAAGAUAAAACACUUUGGUUGGAAAGUCCUGCACGGUUCCCUACCUUGCCUUGGUGUAUUGGCAAAUCGCCAUAUCCCAUGCACGGGACAAUGCCCAGUCUGCUCAGUUGGAGUAGAAGAUAUACAACACUGCCUGUUUAACUGCCCGCGAGCAAACUCGGUUUGGGAACAACUUGGCUUGGCGCAAAGUGUGCAAGAGGCGAUGGCUGAGGAAAUCCUGUCGCACAAUGGAAAUCCUGUCGAAGCUUCAGGGUAA
RNAcentral lists this ribosomal RNA (717 nucleotides) under Triticum aestivum (bread wheat). RNAcentral's name for it is "partial small subunit ribosomal RNA". Lineage: Eukaryota; Viridiplantae; Streptophyta; Magnoliopsida; Poales; Poaceae. The record is from RNAcentral.